CACGUAUUGAUGUGGUACUUUAAGCUUUUUGCUCAAUGGAAGCGUGUUAUGCUUGGUUGUGCUAUAUUUUGCAAGCACCCGAUAAAGGGAAUUCUUAGCCUUCACAAAGCGAGACGUCCUGCUUGCAAUCUAUUCGCCGUAGCGUCAAAGUUCUGCUUUUCAGGCUGAACAACGUUUUCAUUCGGCUUUCUUGAGGUUGUUGCCACCCGUCAGAAGCAACGGUACCACAGGAGGACAACCAGAAUGCCCACCUGUCACAAAUUCAGCACUUCUUCAAGUAGCCGAUAUCGUCUACCAAAAGACGCUGAUGGCAGGAGCAGACAAAGAAUUUUCCAAUAGAACAGGAUACGUGGAGCUGGACGCGUAUGAAAUGGCUGUCAACGUCCUCACUCGAUUCUGUCUAUUUUCGUAUACGUCUGCUGGGCCUUCGUAGGCUCAACGAGUUCAACUUCCUCCUUCGAGUGGGCCUUCUGUAUGACUUUUCGUGGUACUACAUGACGUGCUCUGAUCAAAAUGAACAUGUCUGCCGUCAUUAUCGACGGACAUAAAAAGACACAGAGAUCCGAACAGCUACGUUAAACGGUUCUCGAAAGGACUCUACCUUCCAACACUAACAGGGAUAUUUUUUAGAAACCGCAAUUGCAA
Long non-coding RNA from Varroa destructor (honeybee mite), 645 nucleotides. RefSeq lists it as uncharacterized. NCBI's taxonomy places the organism in Eukaryota, Metazoa, Arthropoda, Arachnida, Mesostigmata, Varroidae. The record is from RefSeq and is a predicted model, not a curated record.